GGAUGCACAUUUGUGGUGGCGGA
Molecule: non-coding RNA, 23 nt
Filed under: Arabidopsis thaliana (thale cress)
Lineage: Eukaryota; Viridiplantae; Streptophyta; Magnoliopsida; Brassicales; Brassicaceae
Source: RNAcentral